RNAcentral lists this ribosomal RNA (298 nucleotides) under Leptogenys punctaticeps. Its description in RNAcentral is "partial 28S ribosomal RNA". Lineage: Eukaryota; Metazoa; Arthropoda; Insecta; Hymenoptera; Formicidae. The record is from RNAcentral.
GAUGUCGUCGUCGUGCACUUCUCCCCAAGUAGAACGUCGCGACCCGCUGGGUGUCGGUCUACGGCCCGGGUGCGGUGACUGUCGCGUCGCCGGUAAAACGGCACGCGACAAAUCCUCGGCUGCUCGGCAGUACGCGCAAGGUAUCAGGCCGCACUUCUACACGGUGCGUCGAGGCCGUCGCAAGCGCGCGCCACGGUACUCGGAAGUUACGGACUUUGCGCCGUCCCNGGUCCUGGCCCGCUGUUGGUUAAAGUACGGAUCACCUUCGACAGGCCUGCGAACGUCUCUCUCUCACGGG